GUUACAAAGACUUGGGGUUUGGUGGUUUGGUGGAGUUAUACAGCAACUUGAUGAAGCUCUCAGAAUUUUAGGGGAUAAAGCAACACACGAGGAAUUGAGAAUUCUGGCUGCUUUCCAAGAUGUGUACAGCCGGCGUACCUGAAGUUCCAUCAUUAUCAAAAGGCAUCGAAGGUCUUAAUAUUUGCAGGUUGCUUUUGUACAGUUUGUGGCAAAGAACUUCGGUCCAGAAGUGCAGUUUGUUACAGGUUUAGUCAUGAGUUUAACUUGUAAUUCAGUCUGCAUAGAGGUUCAGUCGAGGAAGGCCGUACAUGAGUUUGUUACAGGUUGCUUUUCUAUCUGCCAUACCAUGAGUUUAGCGCA
Triticum dicoccoides is the source of this 360-nucleotide long non-coding RNA. RefSeq lists it as uncharacterized. The record is from RefSeq and is a predicted model, not a curated record. The transcript is spliced from 2 exons. Lineage: Eukaryota; Viridiplantae; Streptophyta; Magnoliopsida; Poales; Poaceae.